CUCUUAUCAAGAGAGGUGGAGGGAAAUGGCCCAAUGAAACCCGGCAACCGGUGCAUGUGCAUUAAGGUGCCAAUUCCUGCAGUUUCCUGCAAGAUAAGAG
RNAcentral lists this non-coding RNA (100 nucleotides) under Clostridium sp. Its description in RNAcentral is "SAM-I sequence". It matches the Rfam family "SAM riboswitch aptamer (S box leader)". From Rfam's summary of the family: The SAM riboswitch is found upstream of a number of genes which code for proteins involved in methionine or cysteine biosynthesis in Gram-positive bacteria. The SAM riboswitch acts at the level of transcription termination control. The predicted structure consists of a complex stem-loop region followed by a single stem loop terminator region. The record is from RNAcentral. Lineage: Bacteria; Bacillati; Bacillota; Clostridia; Eubacteriales; Clostridiaceae.